Molecule: non-coding RNA, 31 nt
Filed under: Homo sapiens (human)
Lineage: Eukaryota; Metazoa; Chordata; Mammalia; Primates; Hominidae
Source: RNAcentral
UGAUGUGAGCAUUUGCUCUGAUUGCCUCAAA